RNAcentral lists this long non-coding RNA (489 nucleotides) under Monodelphis domestica (gray short-tailed opossum). Its description in RNAcentral is "lncRNA (ENSMODG00000045666.1)". The record is from RNAcentral. Lineage: Eukaryota; Metazoa; Chordata; Mammalia; Didelphimorphia; Didelphidae.
UUAACUGAACAACUGCCAAUUUCUCAGCUGAGCGGAAUGUCCAUAAAGUUAGAAUAUGGUCAUAGAAGAACAACCUAAGCCAAAUGUGGCAACUCUCAGCAUGGCGGUGGGAAACAGUUGGGAGGAGGUAGAUAGGACCUGAAGCUUCCAAUGAAGCCAGAAAAGAGCAACCAAAGUAUUGGAUGGUCUGGCACAGUUGAGGUUAAUAAAACUCUUCAAAGCAGUGUGAUUAGCGUUAGUCUUCAAAAUGUCAGCAGGGAAAACCCUACUUCUUCUUGAUUUUAUGUGCUGGCUGCCAGCGGCCCUGGAGAGAGAAAGAGGUGGAAAAUGCUUCAAGGGUAUUGUCUGUGCCUGCUACCUUUCUGCCCUCUCAAGAUCAUGCUGCCCCCAGAAGAAACAAGCAGAAACAGUGUCAUGGAAACCAAGACAAGAGGGUGUAUUGCUACUUCCAAAUAAUGCGUGCACUAUGAUUCCAUCCUCCAAUUAGAA